RNAcentral lists this ribosomal RNA (897 nucleotides) under uncultured bacterium. Its description in RNAcentral is "bacterial SSU rRNA". It matches the Rfam family "Bacterial small subunit ribosomal RNA", at positions 8 to 916 of the family's 1533-position model. The record is from RNAcentral.
AGAGUUUGAUCCUGGCUCAGGAUGAACGCUGGCGGCGUGCUUAACACAUGCAAGUCGAACGAGGUCCAUGGAGCUUGCUCCGGAAGACCUAGUGGCGAACGGGUGCGUAACACGUGAGAAACCUGCCCCGAUCUCUGGGAUAACAGUUGGAAACGACUGCUAAUACCGGAUGCCGUCACACCGCUUCAUGGCGGAGUGCCGAAAGAUUUAUCGGAUCGGGAGGGUCUCGCGGCCUAUCAGCUAGUUGGAGAGGUAACGGCUCACCAAGGCAUCGACGGGUAGCUGGUCUGAGAGGAUGAUCAGCCACACUGGGACUGAGACACGGCCCAGACUCCUACGGGAGGCAGCAGUGGGGAAUCUUGCACAAUGGGCGAAAGCCUGAUGCAGCAACGCCGCGUGCGGGAAGAAGGCCCUAGGGUUGUAAACCGCUUUCAGUAGGGAAGAAAAUGACGGUACCUACAGAAGAAGGUGCGGCCAACUACGUGCCAGCAGCCGCGGUGACACGUAGGCACCAAGCGUUAUCCGGAUUUAUUGGGCGUAAAGAGCUCGUAGGCGGUUUGGUAAGUCGGGUGUGAAAACUCUGGGCUCAACCCAGAGAGGCCACCCGAUACUGCUAUGACUAGAGUACGGUAGGGGAGCGGGGAAUUCAUGGUGUAGCGGUGAAAUGCGCAGAUAUCAUGAGGAACACCAGCGGCGAAGGCGCCGCUCUGGGCCGUAACUGACGCUGAGGAGCGAAAGCAUGGGUAGCAAACAGGAUUAGAUACCCUGGUAGUCCAUGCCGUAAACGUUGGGCACUAGGUGUGGGUCUCAACCAACGAGAUCCGCGCCGUCGCUAACGCAUUAAGUGCCCCGCCUGGGGAGUACGGUCGCAAGACUAAAACUUAAAGGAAUUGACGG